RNAcentral lists this long non-coding RNA (316 nucleotides) under Sorghum bicolor (sorghum). Its description in RNAcentral is "long non-coding RNA (SBIC_LNC017179)". Lineage: Eukaryota; Viridiplantae; Streptophyta; Magnoliopsida; Poales; Poaceae. The record is from RNAcentral.
CACCUCCACUCUAUAUCUCUCAAUCUAGUAGAAACUAGAAGAUCUAAUUCUACUCACAUUGGAUGCUAAGCCUAAAAGAAAUUUUAUUUAGAGGAGAGGUAUUCCUUCGAGGGCUCCUCUCAACUCUAUGAUGAACUUGUUCUCCUCCAGGGGCAAGGGGUCUGGUUAUAUAGUCCCCUUAAGCGAAUCUGGGCCGUCGGAUCAAACUGACAUUGAUUGAACGGUUAUCCUUGAUCCUUUAGGUCGGUGGAGCGUAAUCCCCGAAGAGAGUCUUGAUUGGACUCUGGGACAGGGCGGGCGCCCUGCCCCCAGGCCC